GAUGAACGCUGGCGGCGUGCCUAAUACAUGCAAGUCGAGCGAACAGACGAGGAGCUUGCUCCUCUGACGUUAGCGGCGGACGGGUGAGUAACACGUGGAUAACCUACCUAUAAGACUGGGAUAACUUCGGGAAACCGGAGCUAAUACCGGAUAAUAUAUUGAACCGCAUGGUUCAAUAGUGAAAGACGGUUUUGCUGUCACUUAUAGAUGGAUCCGCGCUGCAUUAGCUAGUUGGUAAGGUAACGGCUUACCAAGGCAACGAUGCGUAGCCGACCUGAGAGGGUGAUCGGCCACACUGGAACUGAGACACGGUCCAGGCUCCUACGGGAGGCAGCAGUAGGGAAUCUUCCGCAAUGGGCGAAAGCAUGACGGAGCAACGCCGCGUGAGUGAUGAAGGUCUUCGGAUCGUAAAACUCUGUUAUUAGGGAAGAACAGAUGUGUAAGUAAAUGUGCACGUCUUGACGGUACCUAAUCAGAAAGCCACGGCUAACUACGUG
This 497-nucleotide ribosomal RNA is filed under the name uncultured bacterium. RNAcentral's name for it is "partial 16S ribosomal RNA". It matches the Rfam family "Bacterial small subunit ribosomal RNA", at positions 28 to 507 of the family's 1533-position model. The record is from RNAcentral.